RNAcentral lists this ribosomal RNA (1058 nucleotides) under uncultured fungus. RNAcentral describes it as "eukaryotic LSU rRNA". The stretch from base 475 to 1058 matches the Rfam family "Eukaryotic large subunit ribosomal RNA", at positions 1 to 595 of the family's 3401-position model. The record is from RNAcentral. Lineage: Eukaryota; Fungi.
AGGGAUCAUUAUAGAGUUUUCUAAACUCCCAACCCAUGUGAACUUACCUUUUGUUGCCUCGGCAGAAGUUAUAGGUCUUCUUAUAGCUGCUGCCGGUGGACCAUUAAACUCUUGUUAUUUUAUGUAAUCUGAGCGUCUUAUUUUAAUAAGUCAAAACUUUCAACAACGGAUCUCUUGGUUCUGGCAUCGAUGAAGAACGCAGCGAAAUGCGAUAAGUAAUGUGAAUUGCAGAAUUCAGUGAAUCAUCGAAUCUUUGAACGCACAUUGCGCCCAUUAGUAUUCUAGUGGGCAUGCCUGUUCGAGCGUCAUUUCAACCCUUAAGCCUAGCUUAGUGUUGGGAAUCUACUUCUCUUAGGAGUUGUAGUUCCUGAAAUACAACGGCGGAUUUGUAGUAUCCUCUGAGCGUAGUAAUUUUUUUCUCGCUUUUGUUAGGUGCUAUAACUCCCAGCCGCUAAACCCCCAAUUUUUUGUGGUUGACCUCGGAUCAGGUAGGAAUACCCGCUGAACUUAAGCAUAUCAAUAAGCGGAGGAAAAGAAACCAACAGGGAUUGCCUUAGUAACGGCGAGUGAAGCGGCAACAGCUCAAAUUUGAAAUCUGGCCCUUGGGUCCGAAUUGUAAUUUGUAGAGGAUGAUUUUGGUGCGGUAUCUUCCGAGUUCCUUGGAACAGGACGCCUUAGAGGGUGAGAGCCCCGUACGGUUGAAUGCCUAGCCUCUGUAAAUCUCCUUCGACGAGUCGAGUGGUUUGGGAAUGCUGCUCUAAAUGGGAGGUAAAUUUCUUCUAAAGCUAAAUAUUGGCCAGGGACCGAUAGCGCACAAGUAGAGUGAUCGAAAGAUGAAAAGCACUUUGAAAAGAGGGUUAAAUAGCACGUGAAAUUGUUGAAAGGGAAGGAUUUGUGACCAGACUUUUUCUGGGCGGAUCAUCCGGGGUUCUCUCCGGUGCACUUCGCCCAGUAAAGGCCAGCAUCGGUUUUCGGCGUGGGAUAAAAGCAGUAGGAAUGUGGCUCUCUANCGGGGAGUGUUAUAGCCUAUUGUAUAAUACCGCGCUGGGGACCGAGGU